CCUACGGGUCGCACCAGUGGGGAAUAUUGGACAAUGGGCGAAAGCCUGAUCCAGCAAUGCCGCGUGUGUGAAGAAGGUCUUCGGAUUGUAAAGCACUUUCGACGGGGACGGUAAUGACGGUACCCGUAGAAGAAGCCCCGGCUAACUUCGUGCCAGCAGCCGCGGUAAUACGAAGGGGCUAGCGUUGCUCGGAAUGAUUGGGCGUAAAGGGCGCGUAGGCGGUUUAUGCAGUCAGAUGUGAAAUCCCCGGGCUUAACCUGGGAACUGCAUUUGAGACGCAUAGACUAGAGGUCGAGAGAGGGUUGUGGAAUUCCCAGUGUAGAGGUGAAAUUCGUAGGUAUUGGGAAGAACACCGGUGGCGAAGGCGGCAACCUGGCUCGAUACUGACGCUGAGGCGCGAAAGCGUGGGGAGCAAACAGGAUUAGAUACCCCCGUAGUC
RNAcentral lists this ribosomal RNA (439 nucleotides) under uncultured bacterium. RNAcentral describes it as "bacterial SSU rRNA". It matches the Rfam family "Bacterial small subunit ribosomal RNA", at positions 338 to 795 of the family's 1533-position model. The record is from RNAcentral.